GGCAGCAUCAGCUGGAGGUCACAAUGGCCUAUAUCUUUCCAUCAGGUAGAUAGCAUUGGGUAUGAUCACAAUGACUCAUCUUUAUACUUCAGAUUGGUAACAUCUGCUAGAGUUUACAAUGCCAACAACAGGCACGCUCUCUCCUUCAGAGCAAUCCCUAACAUUCAACUUCAAAAAAGGAAAGAGAAAUAUAACUAUAAAACACAUUUUAAAACUAAGCAGAUAGCUCUGGAAUAGCAAGGGGAAGAUGAGAAGAUUCUACCUUCUGACAUCACUUUACUGCUGGGCAUAUCAGCACAGAAGUGGAACAGAUUAAUCACAACAGGUACUGCUCCUGGGCAAGUAAUGGCUGGAAACAUAAAGUGCUGAAAAUCCUGGCUGCAAAUUAUUGGCACGACUGCAUAUGGAAGCUUGAGUUUCACCUGUGCAAAUUAUGUCUGGCUCUGGGAAAUGCAAUUAAUCUUUUGUUUUAUGAGCCCCAAAUUUAUCAACAGCUUGGAAUCAUUAAAAAAGGGAUGUAUAUCA
Anolis carolinensis (green anole) is the source of this 525-nucleotide long non-coding RNA. RefSeq lists it as uncharacterized. Lineage: Eukaryota; Metazoa; Chordata; Lepidosauria; Squamata; Anolidae. The transcript is spliced from 4 exons. The record is from RefSeq and is a predicted model, not a curated record.